UAAUCUCACUUCGGUGAGAACGAGUGGCGAACGGCUGAGUAACACGUUGGUACCUACCCUAUACUCAGGGAUAACCCACCGAAAGGUGGACUAAUACCGGAUAGUCCCGAAAGGGUAAAGAUUUAUCGGUAUAGGAGGGGCCUGCGGCCUAUCAGUUAGUUGGUGAGGUAAUGGCUCACCAAGACUAUGACAGGUAGCUGAUGUGAGAGCAUGAUCAGCCAGAAUGGGACUGAGACACGGCCCAUACUCC
Molecule: ribosomal RNA, 250 nt
Filed under: uncultured bacterium
Lineage: Bacteria
Description: partial 16S ribosomal RNA
Rfam family: Bacterial small subunit ribosomal RNA
Source: RNAcentral